GAUGAACGCUGGCGGCGUGCCUAAUACAUGCAAGUCGAGCGAACGGACGAGAAGCUUGCUUCUCUGAUGUUAGCGGCGGACGGGUGAGUAACACGUGGAUAACCUACCUAUAAGACUGGGAUAACUUCGGGAAACCGUAGCUAAUACCGGAUAAUAUUUUGAACCGCAUGGUUCAAAAGUGAAAGACGGUCUUGCUGUCACUUAUAGAUGGAUCCGCGCUGCAUUAGCUAGUUGGUAAGGUAACGGCUUACCAAGGCAACGAUGCAUAGCCGACCUGAGAGGGUGAUAGGCCAAACUGGAACUGAGACACGGUCCAGACUCCUACGGGAGGCAGCAGUAGGGAAUCUUCCGCAAUGGGCGAAAGCCUGACGGAGCAACGCCGCGUGAGUGAUGAAGGUCUUCGGAUCGUAAAACUCUGUUAUUAGGGAAGAACAUAUGUGUAAGUAACUGUGCACAUCUUGACGGUACCUAAUCAGAAAGCCACGGCUAACUACGUG
RNAcentral lists this ribosomal RNA (497 nucleotides) under uncultured bacterium. Its description in RNAcentral is "partial 16S ribosomal RNA". It matches the Rfam family "Bacterial small subunit ribosomal RNA", at positions 28 to 507 of the family's 1533-position model. The record is from RNAcentral.